GGGCGGUUAGCUCAGUUGGUUAGAGUGCUUGCUUGACAUGUAAGAGGUCACCGGUUCGAUUCCAGUACCGCCCACCA
RNAcentral lists this transfer RNA (77 nucleotides) under Candidatus Marinamargulisbacteria bacterium SCGC AG-343-D04. RNAcentral's name for it is "tRNA-Val". It matches the Rfam family "tRNA". From Rfam's summary of the family: Transfer RNA (tRNA) molecules are approximately 80 nucleotides in length. Their secondary structure includes four short double-helical elements and three loops (D, anti-codon, and T loops). Further hydrogen bonds mediate the characteristic L-shaped molecular structure. tRNAs have two regions of fundamental functional importance: the anti-codon, which is responsible for specific mRNA codon recognition, and the 3' end, to which the tRNAs corresponding amino acid is attached (by aminoacyl-tRNA synthetases). tRNAs cope with the degeneracy of the genetic code in two manners: having more than one tRNA (with a specific anti-codon) for a particular amino acid; and 'wobble' base-pairing, i.e. permitting non-standard base-pairing at the 3rd anti-codon position. The record is from RNAcentral. Lineage: Bacteria; Bacillati; Candidatus Margulisiibacteriota; Candidatus Marinamargulisbacteria.